AGAGUUUGAUCCUGGCUUAGGAUGAACGCUAGCUACAGGCUUAACACAUGCAAGUCGAGGGGCAGCGAGAAGAAAGCUUGCUUCUUGUCGGCGACCGGCGCACGGGUGAGUAACGCGUAUCCAACCUUCCCCUUAGUAGGGCAUAGCCCGUAGAAAUGCGGAUUAAUACCCUAUGUUGUUCGAUGCGGACAUCUAAGUUGAACCAAAGGUUUACCGCUAAAGGGAUGGGGAUGCGUCUGAUUAGGCAGCAGGCGGGGUAACGGCCCACCUGGCCUACGAUCAGUAGGGGUUCUGAGAGGAAGGUCCCCCACAUUGGAACUGAGACACGGUCCAAACUCCUACGGGAGGCAGCAGUGAGGAAUAUUGGUCAAUGGGCGAGAGCCUGAACCAGCCAAGUAGCGUGCAGGAUGACGGCCCUAUGGGUUGUAAACUGCUUUUAUGCGGGGAUAAAGUGAGGGACGUGUCCCUUAUUGUAGGUACCGCAUGAAUAAGGACCGGCUAAUUCCGUGCCAGCAGCGGC
This 520-nucleotide ribosomal RNA is filed under the name uncultured bacterium. RNAcentral's name for it is "bacterial SSU rRNA". It matches the Rfam family "Bacterial small subunit ribosomal RNA", at positions 8 to 518 of the family's 1533-position model. The record is from RNAcentral.